CGCCUAACCCUCACAGUUGAUCUGCGAGGUACGGCAUAAAAACCUACCACAGGAUAAAAAGCUCGUCGUCAGAGCACCUGUGGUAGGUCAUAUCCGAAAGGGUAUGGGUAGUCCGAAAGGAUUAUC
This 126-nucleotide small RNA is filed under the name unclassified sequences. RNAcentral describes it as "LOOT RNA". It matches the Rfam family "LOOT RNA". From Rfam's summary of the family: Latescibacteria, OD1/Parcubacteria, OP11, TM7. The record is from Rfam by way of RNAcentral.